This 509-nucleotide long non-coding RNA is filed under the name Vigna radiata. RNAcentral's name for it is "long non-coding RNA (VRAD_LNC003403)". Lineage: Eukaryota; Viridiplantae; Streptophyta; Magnoliopsida; Fabales; Fabaceae. The record is from RNAcentral.
ACACAAGGUCACACAAUUCAACUUUGCCUUUCAUUUCUACCACAAUGAAUACAUUCACCUGCAAGCUUGCAUCACAAGGACUUUCAAGGCUUGUAUUUAGGUUGGGCUAAGAAAGAAUUUUGGUUUUUCUAGAUACAAAACACCUUUAGCUAAGAGAGCAUUCAAAUAAGCACAAGUCAACAUAAUCCUCUUCUUAACUUCAAGCAAUUACAACCAAUUCUCAAUUCUCUUUCCAACUUUUCAUCUAUUGAUUCUUUUUCUUGAUCUUGUUCCUUUUUCUUCUUUUUCUUCGCAUUUUUCUUUUUGCUUUUCUUGUCAUUUUCUUUUUGUAACCUCAACCACCCCAAACUUAAACCAUUUUCCUAUACCAAAAUGAACGCUCUACUUAACUCAAGGUAAGGAGGUCAAAAUUUUCAAUCUUGGUCUAAAGGUUCAAGAAUGGGAUCAAUGUUUCUUCCAGAUUCAUAAGGUUACAACAGCUUUUGGGUUCAAAACAUAGACAAGAAAAA